AAGUCGUAACAAGGUUUCCGUAGGUGAACCUGCGGAAGGAUCAUUACAAAUAUAUGGUUAACGCCAACAUUUCAUGUGCAACUUAUUGACGCUGCCAGAAUUUCGAAAAGUUUUUGGAUUUUUCGAUGCCUGGCAGCAAACCCGACCGCUUGAAUCAAUAAUGUACUUUAGUGAUUUAAUGCAUGAUACAAGCGGUCAGCGGUCUUUUACAACAUUAUAACAUCAGUCUUAUUUAUCCAUCAUCAGACAGUAGCAAUUCAGCGAAAUGUGAUGACAUAAAAGGGUUAAAAACUUUUAGCAACGGAUCUCUAGGCUCUC
This 318-nucleotide unclassified non-coding RNA is filed under the name fungal sp. Its description in RNAcentral is "partial internal transcribed spacer region". The stretch from base 1 to 46 matches the Rfam family "Eukaryotic small subunit ribosomal RNA", at positions 1786 to 1831 of the family's 1831-position model. Lineage: Eukaryota; Fungi. The record is from RNAcentral.